AAGCGGUGAAACCCGGACAACAAGCAACGAAGCAACUCCUUCCCCCCAAUCCUUUCACCGGACAUUUAAGGCGAAGAAAAGAAUCUGCAUUGAAGGAGAAACGAAAUCAGGGAGUUCCCGAAACCCUAAUUCUUUGCCAUUUUCAUCGUUGCUGCUCCUCCAUCAAACAGGGAAUCUCCGCCAUUUCUGAAUCUGUGUGUGAUGUGCUUCUUCCUGGAGAACGAUUAGGGAUACUAGAGAAUAGAUUUGAAGAGUUUUCUGUAUUUUCGGAUAUUGAUGAGGCAAGUUCGUCGGUGGCAGGGGAUUCUUAUCCUCUCCUUGCUAUCAUUAUCUGUGUUGGCUCCUAUCGUUUUCGUCUCCAAUCGGCUCAAGAGCAUCACUUCCGUUGGUGAACUUUUCCUUUUUCUUCAUUUUUCCAUAUGUUUCUGUUGUGGCGAAUGUAGGAUUGAUUGAUAUGGCUUUACUAUAGUCGACGAUCCUGUGUAGUGUUGGUUAAUCGUUCUGAUCUCUAAUGGAAUCUCGUGGAUCGCCAUGGACUUUCUUUUUCUUUUUCUUUUUUUCGUUUUGCAUAUUCUUUGCCUUGUGCUUUGCAUCUGAGCUUUGGUUUGAUCUUGAUUCCUGAUCUGUGUCAGGUCGGAGAGAAUUCAUUGAAGAGUUAUCGAACAUUCAUUUUAACUAAGCAAUGAACGUAAGCUGAGAUGCUACUGCUACUCUGCAGAGAUACAGUAGGACGAAUGACCUUAGACUUAACGCAAUUGAACAGGAGGACGGAGGAGGUUUGGUGGAGCUUAAAGGCCCUAAACUCAUCCUGUUCAAGGAUGAGGAAUUUAAUUCUUUAGUUCAGUAUAGUUCUUCUGAUGAAAGUGGCGAUGCUAAGUUGUCUAAUGAGGACCGCAAAACAGGGGCUUUCGCAGAAAUUGGGGAUGGCUACCACAGAUUUAGUUUUGUUUUAUUUUGCCGUCAUUGAUUGACUUGGAAUUUGGAAGCUUUCUUAUACGUUAUCACCAUCGUUUCAGGAAAGGAUCACAAAAGCGAGGAAGAACGAAGAACAACCUGUAGUAAUCAUUUUUACGUAUAACUAAGCCUCUGUGAUCACUACAGGUUGACCGCCACUCAUCACAAACAGAGAGUGGUCAACUUGAUGCAGUAUGAUGCUUAUCUAUUUGAUCUCAGAGAGUGGAGAAGGCAGAAGUUGACCGCCAUGUACAUGAAACACGUGCACCUGGGAACCAAGAGGCAAUUGUUUCAGGCGGGAAGCAUGCCAAUAGGUUGGACGACAUUCUACAAGAAAGUAAUACCGUUGGAAAUGAGAUGGCAUUUAGUGGGUUAAGGGCACGAAUCCGGAGUGAAAGUGGCGGAGAUAGAGCAAGCUAAGGUCAUACACUACGACGGAAUAAUGAAGCCGUGGUUGGAUAUAGGGAUGGGUAAAUACAAAGGGCACUGGAGCAGACACGUCCCUUAUCAUCACCCUUACUCGCAACAGUGCAAUAUCCAUGCUUGAUAACACCAAUCCAAUCCAUUUCUUAAAAAGAAAGGGCAAAAGGCAAAAUAAGUUCAAUUCCAUUCUUACAUACAUACAUACAUACAUACAUACAUACAUACAUACAUACAUACAUACAUACAUACAUACAUACAUACAUACA
RNA transcript from Tarenaya hassleriana, 1643 nucleotides. It is a transcript of the gene named probable galacturonosyltransferase 6, with no coding region annotated. Lineage: Eukaryota; Viridiplantae; Streptophyta; Magnoliopsida; Brassicales; Cleomaceae. The transcript has 4 exons. The record is from RefSeq and is a predicted model, not a curated record.